CCCGCGUCUCUCCCUAGGCUGGCGGCGGGGCUGGAGCUGGGCUUUUAUCUCCCGGCUGGCGCUGGUCGGAGCCAGAUCCCGUAGUCCUCUGAGACGUCAGGCUGCAGCCUUCGUUCCGCUCCGCAUCCUCAGCCCGCGCUCGCGCCUCCCGUUGGAGCACCGUCUCACCUGUCCGCACCCUGCCUCCCACCGGGCGAGAAGUCGCUGGGGGGUCCAACCCCGACUGUCCAGCUCUCAGCCCUCCGUUCUCCUCUCAAGGAAGGGGCAGCGGAUGAAGUGAGACGAUGGUUAUCCGAGUGUUCAUCGCCUCCUCCUCAGGCUUUGUGGCGAUAAAAAAGAAACAGCAAGAUGUAGUUCGUUUUCUGGAAGCCAACAAGAUAGAAUUUGAGGAGAUAGAUAUCACCAUGUCAGAGGAGCAAAGACAAUGGAUGUACAAGAACAUUCCUCCAGAAAAAAAACCAGCUCAGGGCAAUCCAACGCCACCACAAAUAUUCAAUGGAGAUCGAUACUGUGGUGAUUAUGACAGCUUUUUUGAAUCAAAGGAAAGCAAUACCGUCUUUUCAUUCUUAGGCCUGAAAGCAAGAUUGCCAUCAAAGGCAGAGCCCUAAGAGUGGAAAGGAAACUAUGAAGACAGAAGUACAUUUGGAAGAGCAAGUGAGGUGUUCAGCAAACAGCCGCUUACCUAAUAGAUCACUGUGAUAAAAGCUACUUGCAACAUCAGCACUUUGCUUGCCACUGAAGAAAUGCUUUCCAAAGAUGUGGGACCACUGGGCAUUACAAAAAUCUAUAAAUCAAAUUGGUCAUAUGGUGGAUUGUUCCUUAUUUUCUGAUUUACCUACAGUUGAUGAGCUGUCUUUGGGGAGUCUUUUACUGGGUACUCAUAGUCUUGCUUUAUAGUUUCAAAGUUAAGUGGAUGGUAGUCACUAGAUGAUAAUUGUAGUAUCCCUAUGCUAUUGCAGUAUAUACCCAUGUUAGUUAGACAUGCUUUCCUUUAAGCUAAUGCUGCCCAGAUCAUGUUCUUGAAAUUAGUUUAUUAGGAAUUUGCAUGUCUUGAGCCAGAAAAGGGGGCAGGGGAAAGUGAUGCUUAGAACAAGCAGGGUGAUGAAGAAAAAUGUCUCAUAACUAGGAAUGAUGAUAUUUCUGCUAUUUGUAAAUACCACAUAAAUAUAACUUGAUGUUACAGCCUACUUACUAUUAUAGGAGCUCUUCAAACAUAAGUGAAACAUAUAAGUGACUUGAAUUGAGGAAAAUCUUCCUAGAGUAUUGAAAACUCUAAUGAUAUUUUGGAAAGUAUCUGGGUUUGUUUGUUUUUUUCUUUCUCCUUAGAAAAAUUUUCCACUUAAAUGCCAUAAGAUGCUUGACAGAGAUAUUUUAAAUUGUGAAGGCCAUGCACUAAUUUAAUCAAAACUUAAUAAGAAAAUGUUUGAGUUACAUCUGAAAGUUUUGUGACUACAGAGAUAUAUUAUAUGUAUGUAUGUGCAUAUAUGUAUAUAUACACACAUAUAUAUCUAUAUGUAUAUCCCACACAUAUAUAUUUUUAGUGUACCCCUUCCCAAUAGCUACUUAUUGUUUCUUGUAAAAGGAUUAUAUUUUUUGAAAAGGGAGCUCUUGGCUAGAUAUAUUUUGUGUACCCACUGAUGAGUAAUAUUAAAUGAUACUAAUACCUCUGCAUAAGUGAAUAUUUCUUUCUAUGUAACCUUUCCUUUAACCUUGCUUCUCCUGGGCCCUAUGCUAACUUUAAUCUUUUAAAAAUUUAAACAUUUCAACUUAAUGCAGAUAAAUACAGUUUUCCUACUAAUCCUGCCUUCAAGGAUAAAUUUGCAGACUAUGCAUUUGCAACAGAAUUACUUUAUGGCAUACAGUAUCCUUUCCCUCCCACUAUAACUAUAAACUUUGUUAGGUGAUUCUCCCAUUUAGACAGAUGUGCUUUUCUGCAUCUUAAGUGUUCUUAGUGUAAACAAUUUGUAUUUUUAUAGUAUGUGAUAGCUAAAUAUGGGACUUUGGUAUGUUCUUUGCAUAAGACAUCUCAGAGCACCCUUGAAAAACUCCUUGAUCUGCAUACAGACACACACAUAUACACAUACUCACAUCUACAUGUACAACAAUAUCUGAGCUAUUAGGCCCAGAGAACUAACACAGAAUUUCAGCAGUUUAUAUAAAAUUGAAAGAACAGCUGAAAUGUCCACAAAUCUAUUUACCUGAACAAUUUAUUCAAUGGGGAAGCAUUUCAUUGUGAAAAUUAAAACAAAAACUCAGACCAGAUAUUUGUAGUCCAACACUUUAACCAAAAAAAAAAAAAAAAAAAAAAAUACAGUAUUCAUUUCUAUUUCAUAAAAACAAGAGACUUGAUCUAUUUCAUAAAAACAAGAGACUUUGGAUAGAUCCAAAGAAAAAGUUAGUUAGGCAGCUUGCAUGUCAUUGGUUGUUUGGCAAUGAGUAGGGUGAAGGUCAGAUCCUAUUACUGUGAAUUCCAAGGGCUUGUCCAGGAAUUUUGUGUAAUUGAGUAUUGAUUGAAUAUAUGAGCCCUGUGCUGCAAUUUUGAAACUAUUAUGAAGAGAUUUCUAUUGUAUGUGAUAGAAUUUAAUACAUAUUCCAUUUCAUUAAACUUUGCAAACAACAACAAAGUUGAACUUGAAGGAUAAGGGUGAGUUUGGGUUCUUGGAAUAAUGAGACCAGUGACAUAUAUCCUGAAAAAAGCAGUGCCCCAGAUUGGCUGUUUCCCUUAUGAAUUCCUAAUUUCCCAUUGUAAAUCUUUCAUCUUUAUGAUAAAUGAGUGUUUGUUUUUCUGAAUUCAUUUGACAUGCAACAUCCAUCCUUUGCUUUGUCAGUUAAAUAAUAAAAGUAGAUAGAGCAGGCAGUGCAUUAAUUCCAGUGAAUAAUUAAUUUUGGAAGUAUGUUAUUUAUAUUAGGACCAAUGGAUGACUAUACUGUUUUAGGGUACUGCAUAUUACCUGAACAUUGUGUCUAUGCAAUAGUUAUUUAUUUCAUUGUCCAGGCCUAAUCAAACUACCGAAUGACAUACUCAUAAUGACCUUCUUUCAUUUAUUUCAAUUAAAUUUAAUACUUUUUUUUUUUUUUUAAAGCACAUACUAUACACAAAAGGCUAAUCUAAAUGUGAAUGGUCCCUGACCUGAAGGACUUUAUAGUCCAAUACAGGAAUAAAAUACAUUUAUAAAUAUUUUUAUAAAGGUAGAUACUUUUAAGGGCAGAAGUAGGAUAAAGCUAGAUAAAGUACUAUAAGAAAUGUGAGAAAUAAAUGAACCCGCUUUAAUGAAGAAAUCAAUGAAGUCUUCAUCAAGGAAGGGGCACUUGAGCUGUCUCUUAAAGAAAGAGAAAUCUUUUGAUACAACUUUGAUGUGUAUGAAAUACUUUAAUUAUUAUGGGAUUGUGGUGGCCAUUGUCUUAAAAACCAAGUUUGGGGAGGAAUUAUGAUUAUGGGAACUACAGUUACAAACUUUAAAUGUUAGGUCAGUCGUUCUCUUGUGAGUUCCUAUUGGAAAUGGUUUUAGGGCAAAAAUCAAAUUCUGUGACUUUUAAUCAGAGUCUUUUGUUGCUGCCAGAAGGUUUUAUAGUAUAAAUUAUUUAGGGAAGGAAAUUUUUGUUUUUUUCAGGUUUUAAGUGUUAUAAUAUAUCAGAUAUCAAAAUAGACAAGAAUUAUCUUUGAUUCCAAAACAGUUUUCAGAAUUUUUUAGAAUAAAAAAAUUCCAGUGUGACAUCUAUAGUUUAACAUUUUCUUUUUUUAAGACCUUAAAAAUAUAGCAAGGUAAACUGACUAUAUAUUCCCUUUAGAGAAAACAACAAACUCUGUUUUUACUUUUUUUUUUACAAGUGUUUUUCAUUUUGCUGUCACUCUCCAUAUUGCUUUGUAGCUCCUCUUACUGUUUUUGUCUUUAGUUUUGUUUAUCUGCUCAUAAAAUAAGUUGCAUACCUGGUUGUAAAUCUAACAGCAAAAGAAUGUAUGUGAAUCGCUUUAAAGCAUUUACUGAAAUUGGGGUGUUCCCCUGCCAACAAUUUUCCACAUCUAUACCACCUUUGUAUGAUUUUCUUUACAAAACAAAACUUCUUGCUUAAGUAUACUUGUCUGCCGUAUUUCAGCUGUUCACAUGCAUGUAGCAGCCUAAAUACUAAAGACUCUGUCUUAUAACCAAUGUAAUAAAAGGAGUACCCAUUGAAUAGGACUCUGGGGAAAAAAAGUUUGUCAGAUAGAAAACCAUCAAUCAAUACAGCACAAAGCAGCAGCAAUUGUGUCAGCUCCUUUGUUUUAGAUUAGUGAAUCCUUGCCUGCCCGAGCACAUAGAUGCUUCAUAGUUGGUGAGUUAAAAGUAGAGGAUAAAAUUCUGGGCUUAGACUUUGGCCUGAUACUACUAAAUGAGACUGGAUGUAUUAUUAAUCUAUACAUUCCUAAGGCAAUUCCUAGGAUUUCUCUAAGUAUAUAAUAUAUAAGUCAUUAGGGAUUUUGAUCUGUAGAAGCAGAGGGAAUUCCUAGACUGAUGAAAGCAUACAUCUUUACAUAUCUGGGUAGCAGAGAAAAAAAAGAAAUCUUAGCUUGUAUGGAGAUAAGCAGUACCUCUUGUUCAACAUGUCACUUUAAAGGUAACAAUACCUGAAAUUCAUUCCAUCACUCAAUUCCAGUUAAUAUUGGUCCAUUACAUUUUUUCAUUGUAUUGUGGUGCAUUGGAAACAACUCCGUUUAACUGCACGAAUCACUUAACCCCAUGGGUCUCAGUUUCCUCAUUUGCAAAAUGAGGAGAUUGGAUCAGAUGAUUAUUAAAUAUCCUUUUCACCUCUAUAUGAUCUUAUGAUCUUACCAGUCAACAAGUAAAUACAUUAAGGCAGCUUUGAAGGCACAGUGAUAAGUCAGGAAGAUUAGAAUUUGAAUCCUGCCUUAGACACUUCUUAGCUGUAUGACUUACUAGUUAUAUAUACAAAUCAUUUAGUCUCUUUGACACACUUUCCUCAUCUGUAAAAUGGAAAUAAUAUUAGCAUGUACCUCAUGGAGUGCUUGUAAGGCUUAAAUGAAUAAGCAUGUAAACUGUUUCUCCAGCCUUAAAGUACUGUAUAAAUACCAGUUAGAUACUAGUUAUUAUGUGUUGGGUGCUAGAGAUAACAAACAAAAAAAUGAAACAAUAUUAGUGACCAUGUGUUUUAAUGGGAAUGAAUCUUGGAAGCAGGAGAAGGAGGUUGGGGAAAUUUUAAGACUGUCAUGUUUUUACUGUGUCCAAAUUAAAGAAGAGGAAGGAACUAACCAAAAAGCUACUGCUGUUAGAGGAAAAAUAAUUCUUCAUUCAAUUUGUAUGAUAGGUGCUAAAUAGAAUUAUUAAAUUUAGAAAUUAUAGGAGUAAUUAGAAGUUUUAUUAUGCUUCAGCAUUGUUUCAGAAUUCAGAAAAAUAACACUGAGCAAAGAAUGAAGUUUCUGACAAAGACAUUAUAGAGAAAAAUUAUAUCAGAGAAAUAGUUUGGGUUAAUUUAUUUUUUUAAACAUAGAUUCUCCAUGGCCUUUUAUGCCAUAAAGAUCACAAGAGACAUAGUCAAAUGUUCUUUAUCUCAUGCUUCAAUUAAGGUUGAACAAACUAAGAAGUUAGUAAAGAGACAAAGUUACAGGUUUAAAUGCUUAAUUUACAAAAUCCUACAUUUCCAAAACUAUUAAGGCUACAUUCUAAAGAGGUCUUAAUGGACUAAUUGAAGGGAGAAAUUUACAUGUAACAAAAAUAACCAAAGGUUCAGCAUCAGGGAAAUUGUUCAAAGAUUUGAGUUAGCUAAAUUACUUGUCAGGUUUUGAAAUUUUUUGUAAUUGCUUUAUUCCCUUCAUCCUCUUCUUUUGGUUUCUUAUCUUAGGAAUAUAAAAAAAGUCUUCGUUUAUUACUGUUAUCCAUGAAUUAGAUUUUAGCCAGAUGAGUUUAAUAAGAACAGGAAUAAGUUUGUUAGCCAAAUGAUUCAGCAGUAAUCACAUAAAAUUCAAUAAAAGGGAAUAAAAAAAUUCUCAUAAUAUUAUUAAUAAUAUAAGAAGAUACCAAAACUACUAAGACAAAUGUAAUCAAUACUAUGGUCCAGUUUUUCCAAUUUUUCAAAAAAGAUUAUAAAAUUCAGGAUAACAAGAUCGUUUAGAAUUGUUGUUGCUACUUUGAAAUGAGGAUUUGAGUAUGUAUUUUCUAAUUACAAAUCAGAAGAAACAGUGUUAAGAUUGCUUUAAAAGUAUGUAAAGGAAAUUUCUUUUAUUGACUAAAAAAAUAUAUUUCAGUAUAACAAGGAUCCUGAUAUGUUGGUAACUCAGUUUCCCCAACUCAUAUUCCAAUUGGUCCAUAGCUUAAGUUAUAGAGAAAUGCCGGUGGCAUAUUAAAAGUAAAAAAACUUUGUUUUACAGGACCAGUAAAUUUCAGAGGCAGAAUUUCAACCCUACUCUUUGACUCCAAGCCCAGCAUUCUAUCUUCAAUCAUUCUGCCUCUAAUAAUUUAUGUUAUUUGUAAAUAAUGUUAAUUUUUAGUGCUCUAAGUGCAAACAAAGGUACUUAGAAAGUUGUCAGUGUAUCUUGAAAGACAGACUAAGGCCUUUGCUUAAGCUUUCAUUUCUUUGUUAGAAAUCCAAGUCAUUAGAAUUACAAAUUGAUUUGCUGCUAUUGAAUUUCAGCGAAAGAAAAUCUUUGUAUAAACUAGAAGUGUGUCUAUGCACCUUUGCUACAUGCCCACAUGCAUGCUGUGCAUGUAACAGCAGGAAGAUUCACAAAUAGGCAAAAUAGCGUUCUUAUACAUUAAAAAACCAUGAAGAAGGUUAUUCGCUUAAAGCAGGAAUUCUUAAUCUGAGGUAGAUUUCAGGGCCCUAUGAAUUUGAAUGGGAAAAUUGCAUUGGUUUCCUUUAUAUUUUAUGUAUAUAUUCCUAUGAAUUUAUGCAUGUUAAGACAUGAUUCUUAGAAAAGGUCCAAAUGUUUUACUAGACUGCUAGUGUAGCCAUGUCAGAAAUAGUUAAGAACCUCUUGUGUUAAGCCAUUGGAAAUUUAAAUAACUUAAUUCAAUAAUUAACUGAAUGAUAGUCUUUAAACAUUACACAAAAUACCUCAUGCAAGCAGCAUGCUUUAGUAUAUUAGUUAAUCACUGGUUGGUUUAUAUCAGGAAUAUGAAAUUAGAAGUUAUAUUCUCUAUGGAACCUAUUGACCUAAAAGGUCAAUAUUUUUAUUUUUAUUUUUUUUAAUUUUUUAAUAGCUUUUUAUUUACAAGAUAUAUAUAUAUAUAUACAUGGGUAAUUUUUCAGCAUUGACCCUUGCCAAAUCUGUUCCAACUUUUCCCCCUCCUUUCCUCCACCCUCACCCCUAAAUGGCAGGUAGACCCAUAUGUGUUAAAUAUGUUAAAGUAUAUAUUAAAUACAAUAUAUGUAUACAUAUCCAUACAGUUAUUUUGUUGCAUAAGAAAAAUCAGACUUAGAAAUAAGGUAAAAAUAACCUGAGAAGGAAAUAAAAAAUGCAAGCGGACAAAAACAAAGGGAGUGGAAAUGCUAUGUUGUGGCUCAUACUCAUUUCCCAUAGUUUUUCACUGGGUACAGCUGGUUCUCUUCAUUAUUGAAAAAUGGAACUGAUUUGAUUCAUCUCAUUGUUGAAGAGAGCCAUGUCCAUCAGAAUUGAUCAUCAUAUAGUGUUGGAAUACACAGGAGAGCUGCUGAAAUACACGGGAGACACAUGCCAGUGGCUGCUGGAAAUCCAACCCAGAAUGGAUCUCUUCUUGUGAGAGAAUGAUACAAGGAGACUGAGAAACCGUUGUUCUCUGAUCUCUCUGACUGAGAGGCCAUUGCGUUGUCUGACCUCUCUCCUUUUCCCUCUGCCUCCAGUUUAUCUCAUUCCCAGCAAAGGCUACUUUGCAACUCCUUUAGAUGUUAUGAUACACAGCUAUGGAGGCUCUCAGAAAAUUGACCUGCCCUUUAACAAUUCCCUGUUUGUUUGUUUGUUUGUUUGUUUUUUGUUGUUGUUGUUUGUUUGUGCUGUUAUUUCCCUCCCAGAGCAUGGUCCGCAUACUGAGGAAUGCAAGAGCACUAUCACUUCUGUAUGGUUGUAGCAGGUGUUGAUCGAGGCAAACUUUCCAUUAGAGAAAAGGACUGUUGUCAAAACAGGCAUUAAAAUCUCUCAUCAGUCUCCUGGCUCGGUCCUUUAAUGUAUUAGCCCAUUUAAUUACCUUGACUAAAAAAAUCUAACUUGGGCUCUUCCUUAACUCUGGAAGGAUCCUUCUCAUGAACAGCUCAGGUUCUUCUUGUAAUUCUUGUGCUUCUUUAUACCCCACGUUAAGGCGCCAUAUGUUGGAAUACACAGGAAAGCUGCUGAAAUAUAUGGGAGCCACCUAACAGUGGCUGCUGGAGAAACAACCCAGAAUGGAUCUCUUCUUGUGAGAGAAUGAUGCAAGGAGACUGAGAGGCCGUUGUUCUCUGACCUCUCUGACUGAGAGGCCGUUGCGUUGUCUGACUUCUCUCCUUUUUCCUCUGUCUCCACUUUAUCUCAUUCCUAGUCCGCUAUACUUGUCAGCAAAGGCUGCAUUGCAAACCCUUCCGAUGUUAUAAUCCACAGCUGUAGAGGCUCUCGGGGAAUUGACCUGUCCCUUAACAACAUAGUAUUGUUGUUGAAGUAUAUAAUUGUAAAGGGCUGAAACUCUUGUGUUUAUGCACUGAGGUCAGACAACUGAGCACUUAAGGCUAACUACCGAUUGGACAAUACUCUAUUAGCAUAUGCUUGGAAAAUGGUCCUUCCCACUAUUCUGUACUGGCUCGAUAAUUGGUGUAUACAGAGAAUUGUAGGAGGGAUUAAGGGGUGGAGUAAGACUAGCCAGAGUCACUUUUCAGCGGGAGACAGAGAAAAGGUCGUGGAGAUUCUGCGUCUAUCCAAUUCACUCCUACCUCUGAAGACCAAGAAUAAACACCAAGGACUUUUGCUUAUCCUGACUCUGGCUGAUUCUAAGGUAUCCAGGGUGCUAACGCAGUCAUCACAUAUAAUGACCUCCUGGUCCUGCUCAUUUCGUUCAGCAUCAGUUCAUGUAAGUCUCUCCAGGCCUUUCUGAAAUCAUCCUCCUGGGUCAUUUCUUAUAGAACAAUAAUAUUCUAUAGCAUUCAUAUACCACAACUUAUUCGCCAUUCUCCAAUUGAUGGGCAUCCACUCAAUUUCCAGUUUUUUUGCCCUUCCAAAGAGGGCUGCCACAAAUAUUUUUGCACAUGCAGGUCCCUUUCCUUUCUUUAAGAUCUCUUUGGGAUAUAAGCCCAGUAGUAGCAUUGCUGAAUCAAAGGGUAUGCACAGUUUGAUAAAUUUUUGAGCAUAGUUCCAAAUUGCUCUCCAGAAUGGUUGAAUGUAUUCACACUUCCAUCAACAAUGUAUCAGUGUCCCAGUUUUCCCACAUCCCCUCCAACAUUCAGCAUUAUCUUUUCCUGUCAUCAUAGCCAAUCUGACAAGUGUGUAGUGGUAUCUCAGAGUUGUCUUAAUUUGCAUUUCUCUGAUAAUGAUUUGGAGCAUCUUUUCACAUGGCUAGAAAUAGUUUCUAUUUCUUCAUCUAAAAAUUGUAUGUUUAUAUACUUUGACCAUUUAUCAAUUGAAAAAUGGCUUGAUUUCUUAUAAAUUAGAGUCAAUUCUCUAUUUUAGAAAUGAGGCCUUUAUCAGAAUGUUUGAUUGUAAAUGUUUUCCCAGUUUAUUGCUUAAGGGUCAAUAUUUUUAAUAGCCAAUUUUUAAGACACUGGUAUUUGAAAACUCAUUGGCUUUAAAAUGUUGGGACUUACAAAACAUAUACACAUAUAUACACACAUAAUAUUACUUUUUAGUGAUAAAAUUGAGCAAAGAUAUUUUAUUUUUAUAUUGUUACACAGUAGUAGAAUGCUGGACAUGGGAGUCAGGAAGACUUGAAUUCAAAUUCUGCUGCAGAUACGAGUUUUGUGACCCCCAAGUGACUCACUUAACCUGUAUCAGCUUCAUUUAUCUUUCAUUAUUUAUAAAAUAGAGAUUAUAAUUGCAAUUACCUAAUAGGGCUGUUAUGAAGAUCAAAUAGGAUGAUAGGUAGAGAUAUAUCUAUAUUUAGUUAUCAAAUCUAUAUAGAUAUGAGACAUUUAUGUAAGAUCUAUCAGCUAAUUUCUAUUAUAUUCCAGACCAUAAAGCACUAUAUAAAUGUUAGCCAUUUUCUUUAUAAUUUUCAUUAUUACUACUAUUAUAAGAUUAUUUUCUGUUUUGUCUUUGUAUCUUCAGUGCCUUGUACAUUUUUUGUGAGGAGAUUAGACUUGUGAUUCCAUAGUUCAUAUGAUUGUUAUAGUUACUGUAAAGAUUCAAGUCAGAACUAGUGCUACCACUUACUGACUUAGUUGCCUUGAAGGUGCCUUGAAUGACCUGAGAAAUGUGGGCACAGUUAGGUGGUACUGUUGAGUUUUGGAAUGAAGAUGAUGGGUUCAAAUUCUGCCUCAGUACCUAUUAGUUGUAUGAUCCUGGGCAAGGUACUUAGCCUAAGUUUCCUUAUUUAUAAAGUGUGCAUAAUAAUAGCAUCUACCUUCCAUAGAUGUUGUGGGUUCAGAUGAGAUAACAGGUAAAAUAUUUUACAAACCUUAAAGUGCCCAAUUAUUGUUGGUUUGAAUACUAUAAAAACAACAGGAAAAUAUAUGAAAGUUAUUUGACUCUGAAUUAAAACUAAAAUCCUCCACAUGCAGUUUCCCACCCCCCGCACCCCCAUACAAAAAGAACUUCAGGAAACACAAGAUGGAAACAUUCAUCACUUGGGUAAUACAAGUGAAAAUUCUAUACUAACCUUCAAAAUUGAAUUUGCAAUAGAAAGAUAAAUAUCUCUAAAAGCUUGUACCAUGUGUUUUGACGGAAUCUUUUCUUCUUCAAUCAAUGCUUCUAGUAGAAGAGGUGGGGAAAUAAAUAUAUUAUGGACUGUAAUUCUUUAGUACAACUGCCAAGAUAAAAUGCUCUGGGUUUAUUUCUUGCUGUAGUUGUUUGUAGCAAGUUUUCUUCUUUAAAACAAAACAACAAAAAAAAGAUUUGAGAUCUGCCUUUUCUCCUAUGUAAACAAGUAAUACAUGUGUGUCUAUAGCAUGUGACAGAUGUCUGUAUAUCUUGUUUCCUAGAAUUGGACUUCAGUCCUCUGGUUUUUACAUUAUUUUAUAAAACAUUUGUUCCCACUCAUUAAUCAUUUAGUGCUUAUAUGCCCAAUCACAGUGUUUGUUUGUUUUUCUUAAGGAAUAUGUUUAAUAGGUCAGAUUCAGACACCAUUAAUAAAAUGCAGGACAGCAGAAUAGAAACCUAAUUUCCUCUAGAAUUCCUGAGAUAUUGACUCCCUGUGUCUGGGGAAAUGUCAUGUCACUAAUCACUGUUUACCCAUUCUCCUGAUCAAAUAACCAGAAGGAUGUGGAGGUUGGGAAGGAAAUUUUAUUUUGAUUUUGUUCUUUAUCACAGUGUAUAGGAAGCUAGAAUAAUUCAGAAAAUCUUGGUGAUGGUAUUCUGAGGGAUCUACCUAAAAUGAGAGUUCCCCUAACAUAAAAGAUUAACAAGUUUAUUAUAAUCUUGGUGAGGUAAGAGGUAGGGUAGCUACUGUAAUUGUCAUCUGAACUCUUCUAACUGAAGUUACAUAGAUUUGGAUUUUUUUUUUUUCUUUGUGUUCACAGCACCCUGAAAGUUCCUCAAUAAAUGUUGGCUGAAUCGAAUUUAAUUGAAUUAUUUAAGUUUUGUGAUGCCAGUGAACAACCCUGUUUUUAGGUCUCUGCUUGAUUUUUUGACUUCUUUUUUUCCCCUUUCAUCAGCUCACGUUUCAAAGCUGUCAAAUUUAAAUGUACAUAAACCAGUUCCUUUUAAUUUUCUUCAACACGUGGGUUCAGGUUUUCAAACUCUCUUGCUAUCCUUCCUGUCAGCUUGUUUCAUAUUGUGUGUCACUGACAUCAUCAAGGCUUCAAUAUUAAUCAGUAGCACUAGAUUAGCUAGAUUCAAAAAAAAGAAAAAAAAAAAAGCAAAUCCCAGUUUUGCUCAGUCCAGAAAGUGUCUCUUUUAUAACUCAGGCCUGAAUGCCAUAUAAUUUGAGGCCACCUGGGUCAUCCUAACCCAUUUGCCUAUCUUUCAUUCAUCUAUAAUGUCAAGAUACCCAGGGACCAUUUACUCCUUCCCACCACUCCCUGAUCAAUGCCAGUAGCAAAAAUGAUAAUAAAGGCAUUAUUUCCAAUUUUCAAGACAUUCUUGGAAUCAAAAGAAAUUGAAUUUUGAACUGCCAUUCUCAUAUUUUUUGAAAUACCUAAUAAAUAUUUAUCAUUAUUAUCCCAUCAUAGAAAUGGGGGAAAAAACUGACAGGUUUUUCCAUUCAAGCUGUGGAUAGGUCGUGCAAACAAUCUUAGAAGAUAUACACGUAUAUCAGACAAGAUGACUACAACACAACUGUAGACAGUGAAUGAAUGGAAAAGAUGGAGCCCUUCCUUGUCACUCUGUGAUUGAGAGCAACAAGCUGCCUUCAAGGAAAGCCAUCUCCAGGGGGACUCAUUUCCUAGUAUAGAUUGUGGCAGAACUAGGAAAUGAGUAAACAGCUACAUUUGCAGCGAAGAAGGAGAGAUCUCUUUAAACUGAAAUUGGAUAGAUGCAGGCAAAGUGACAAGUUGAUGAUAAGUGGAAUUGGGUAGUAGUCAGGCAGACGGUAAUCAAGGGGACAGCUGUCAUCCUGAAACAAAUCAUUUUGGCAGAGCAUAUAUUUUAAGUUUGAUGAAAAGCUGCUUUUUCUAAUGUUUUCAUCAUCAUCUCAAACUGUUUAUUAGUCACUCACAUGCAUACAGUCUUCCAUUAGGUUAGUAACACUGUGGUUACUAAUGUUCCUGUUGUUGCUGAUUUGAAAUACGCUCCCUCACAUGCCUUUGGAAGAGCCAAGGAAGGCUUCCCAGGAAAUACAGACAGGGAAAUCUACCUUUCCCCCACAUUGUGGUACUGAGAGGGAUGGGGGUAGGGAAGGAUGUGUUAUCUAGUGGAAAAUGUAAGAAUAAAAAUGCCUGCCCUGGCUCCUUGCCCCUUUUUGAAAGGCAAUAUAGAGGAAACAGCCUUUUAUGAGAUUCUGGGCAUAGACCCAGGAUUAGGGAUGGUGGUGUGGGGUCAGUAUUCCAUAGACAGGGGAAGGAUCUUCCCAAACACACAGGAUGAAAAUCAGAAAGUAGUUCUGUUCUGUGAACUGGAAUCAGAGUUGCAUCUGGAAGGAAGGUAAGUAUUUCAGAGAGGCAGGGUUGAACAAUAGAUAGGGAACUGUAUUUAAAGUUAGGGAGACCAGGGUUCAAAUUCUGCCUCAGACAAUUGCAAAUUCAUUCACUUAGACAGUCUUUUUAUUUCUCUUUAUAUCUCAUUUUCUCUUCUGGAAUAUAAAGGGGCUGGAUUUGAUGGUUUCUUGGAUUUCUAUGGUCCUUUCCUGGCAUCAAGGUGGCACAGUGGGUAAAAUGUAGGACCUGAGUCCUUAGUUAAAAUCUGACUUCAGAUAUAUUAGCUGUAUGACUCAGGGCAAGUCACUUAACCCCAUCUGCCUCAGUUUCCUCAUUUAUAAAAGGAGCUAUAGAAGGAAAUGGCAAACCACUCCAAAAUUUUUGCCAAGAAAACCCCAAAUGGACAGACCAAUAAAUGCUUAGUCCAGAGUUUCUUUAUAAUAAAGUUGACUACGUGCCCUACUAGGAAAGUGAUCAUCUUCAAAAAAAUCAAAAACAAAAAAUAACCAGAUAACCUUGGCACCAAACCAUCUGCAUAUGCAUUCCAUUUUCUUGACAGCUGAUUCAUCAGAUAUUUACUAAAUGCCUGUCCUCAAAGUUAUUUAGUACAUGUUGAAAAAUAGAAUAGAAGGACAUGAGCAAAUGAUAAGAAACAAUUUGCAAGAGUAACCUAGGGUUUGGUAAACCCAAGAACUGAAGUGACUGAGAAAAGGACUCCUUUUUUUUGGGGGGGGGGCGCACAAGAAUUUCUUGGAAGACUAGAAAUCAGUAUAGCAGAAAUUAGGUUCAAACAUCUUAUAUGAAGUAGCCAAUAAAUUCAAAAUGACUGUGAUAUGAAUAUAAAAGGUUAUAACAUAAAAAUCAGACAAGCUGGGAUAUGCUCCACAACUAUUGCUAGAGGGAAAGUUCUUAAGAGAAAGAUCAUAAAAGAUAAAAAUAUAAAAUUUAACUAAUAACUAACAUACAGCACUUAUCAUGUACUAGCAUUGUACUAAAUCUUUUACAAUGCUCAUAACCUGGAAAAUAAGUGCUACUUUUGCCCCCAUUUUACGGAUGAGGAAACAGGUAAAAAUCAAGUAGCUUGCCUCUUUUCACACAGAUAUUAAAUGUUUGAGAUUACAUUUGGACUCAGGUCUUUCUGAUUGGAGAUCCAGUGUUCUAUCCACUAUACCAUCUAUCUACCUAGUUAUGUUUAAAAACAUGUUGUGUGAAUAUAAUAAAUUUAGACAGAAUUUGAAGAGAAAUGGUAGUAUGGGAACUUUUUUCUAUCUUAUGUCAUUGAUAGUCUGUUC
This 14447-nucleotide long non-coding RNA is filed under the name Sarcophilus harrisii (Tasmanian devil). RNAcentral describes it as "lncRNA (ENSSHAG00000023383.1)". Lineage: Eukaryota; Metazoa; Chordata; Mammalia; Dasyuromorphia; Dasyuridae. The record is from RNAcentral.